RNAcentral lists this ribosomal RNA (522 nucleotides) under Triticum aestivum (bread wheat). Its description in RNAcentral is "partial small subunit ribosomal RNA". Lineage: Eukaryota; Viridiplantae; Streptophyta; Magnoliopsida; Poales; Poaceae. The record is from RNAcentral.
AUGGCGCGGUGGUGUCAGCUGGCGGCGGUGCUGCUCGCCGUGUCGAUGGCGGCGUCGACGACGGUGGCGCAGGACGCGCUGCAGACCAAGUGCCAGGAGGACCUGCAGAAGCUGUCAGACUGCAUGGACUACGCGACGGGGCACGAGGACACGCCGUCGGCCAAGUGCUGCGAGGACACGGCGGACACGCAGAAGUCGCGGCCCGAGUGCCUCUGCUCCAUCAUCCAGCAGGUGCACAGCGGCAGCCACGGCGUGCAGCAGCUCGGCCUCCGCUUCGACCGCCUCCUGGCCCAGCCCGCCGCCUGCAAGCUCCCCAACGCCAACGUUUCCCUCUGCAUCAACCUGCUGCACCUGACCCCGAGCUCGCCAGACUACGCUCUCUUCGCAAAUGCUUCCAAGAUUACUCCGUCCACUGCCGCGCCAGCGAGAGACACCGCCGACGGCUUCAAGGUUCCGACGGGGCUCGGUUAUGGCGUCGUGGCGGCGGCCGUCGUCUCUGCUGUCUUCUCAUCCAUCUUCUGA